Molecule: unclassified non-coding RNA, 248 nt
Filed under: Ascomycota sp.
Lineage: Eukaryota; Fungi; Ascomycota
Description: partial contains small subunit ribosomal RNA, internal transcribed spacer 1, and 5.8S ribosomal RNA
Rfam family: Eukaryotic small subunit ribosomal RNA (bases 1-47)
Source: RNAcentral
AAAGUCGUAACAAGGUUUCCGUAGGUGAACCUGCGGAAGGAUCAUUAAAGAUAUAGGAUAUAUUUCUCCUUAACCCCACUCUGAGUACUUGUACGUGUUGCUUCCGUGGGCAGCGAGAAAUAUGCUCGCGUCUGCUCUUAUGGUGGACCCACGGGAGGUAUCGAUAUACUCCGCAUUUCUGUGAAAUCCGUCUGACUAUGUUUAUUCUAUAAACUUCAAAACUUUCAACAACGGAUCUCUUGGUUCUC